Molecule: non-coding RNA, 429 nt
Organism: Plutella xylostella (diamondback moth)
Lineage: Eukaryota; Metazoa; Arthropoda; Insecta; Lepidoptera; Plutellidae
Source: RefSeq, a predicted model, not a curated record
AAAAACAUACACAAAAAUGUGUGAGGCAAAUUUUUAUGUUUCUUUCUCCAAUAUAUUAAAUAAAUAAAAUACCUAUUCGGAAACUACAAAGGUGUGUCGUGAGUGGAGGCAUCUCUACAAUUUCAAUGUUGAUUAACGAUGUAUGCCAAGAAUGAUCAGCCUCUAAUCUAGUUAACUAAUAGCCGAAGGCAAUCAAAAAGCUGUAAAUUUUCGGAAACCAAUGCGAGGAACAGUUUGACUUCUUCACAUCGUAAAAAUAAAUCAACUAACUCAUACGGUUCGACUAUAAAAAUUUAAAGAAUUAUCACAAAUUGUAUGGCUAAUGAGAUCUAUAAAUUUUAGUCAGAACGUGCGGAGACAAAUUUUAUAGGAUUCCUGUGAGAUUUAAUUCACCUUUUUUCCUAUGGAUUUUUAUGCAAUAAAAUUCAA